GAAAAUAUUUGGUACACUGUCAGUAGAGUUUUUAGACUCCCCAAGCAAGGUCAAAAGGUUGACAAGUGUUCUAUAGAGAUAUAGUACUAUAUUUUCUUUUUAAAAAAAGAGACGUGACAAUUUUUAAAAACUACUUGUAGAAUAAAAAAAAGUACACUGCCAAUAUACUAAAUAUUAACUCAUAAUAUAUCAUCCCUAUAU
This 201-nucleotide long non-coding RNA is filed under the name Gossypium raimondii (Peruvian cotton). RNAcentral describes it as "long non-coding RNA (GRAI_LNC010488)". Lineage: Eukaryota; Viridiplantae; Streptophyta; Magnoliopsida; Malvales; Malvaceae. The record is from RNAcentral.